This 244-nucleotide long non-coding RNA is filed under the name Homo sapiens (human). RNAcentral's name for it is "non-protein coding lnc-FUNDC1-2:1". The record is from RNAcentral. Lineage: Eukaryota; Metazoa; Chordata; Mammalia; Primates; Hominidae.
GGAGAAUCUGUGCCUCUGCAUCAGCCCCAAAGACCUGCAGCAUUGAGCGUGUCCUGCGGAAAACAGAGAGGUUCCAGAAAUGGCUGCAGGCCAAGCGCCUCACGCCGGACCUGGUGCAGUGACGAUUCGAGAAAGUUCCUAGCUGCGACCUCUGGCCUGAAGAUCUGACAGGAUGACCCUUGCCAGUCCACCCCUCUGCCAGGGCUCAACUCACCUGCAUCAUUCUCUGACAGCUCUUUGCCAG